CGGGGGCGCACAAUAGGGGCUACCUUUGCAGUGCAAGAGAAAGACAGUUCGAAUUCGUUUAAAACAAAUUCGGGGGACCUGCCCGUGAAGCCCCCUUGCACGAUUCUCCCUCCCUUUCUUUACAAAAAGGGGAUUCGGCCGCUUACUUCCUUGAUGUCGGCAGAAUUCUGCAGGAUUUAAACUGUGUAAACGAAAGCAUCCUGACCUCAGCCUUCCUAGCCAACCUAACCGGCAGGAUAGUUCGCAGCCGCAGCCGUAGCGAGCGAUCAUGGAACGGGGGAACCGAUCCACUGUGAAGGUUACUCUGAGCAGAAAUAGCGAGAGAAACACAAAUGCUCUAUCGCACCCCCGACCUCUGCACACAUAAUGUGUGUCUUUCGAGAAGAAAAGAGCCCCUUUCCGCUCCCUCACGCUAUGAGAACGGAGGCAAAGAGAAAAGCGCUACCGAGCUGAUAACCCGCAAUGGCUGAAUCCGAACGGGAGCAGCUGAUCACCCUAGCCGGGAAUGAGAUGUCAAAAACUGUUGCAUGGACUUAGAUCUGAGAAGGUGUCUUCUUAGCACUCUAAAAUAGCAAGAGGCGCGAAUUUCUUGCAAACGUGUGUUCCCAGGCCGACAGGAACAUUUCGCCUGGGUCUCUCCUUUAGCCGCGGUGAGAGGCUUUCUUUGCACUGAUCGAAACUUAUGCCCGGCCUCGAUGCCGCCCGGCGGAGGAGCCCGGGGUUUCAUCCCGACCCCAGCCGGAGCCCCGGGGCUCGGCUUUGCCGAGGGCUUUCUCGGGAAGCGCCUUACCUCUCGGCGCAGUCAUUACCGCGCACUACGCAGUGUGAGAGACCGCCAGUGUCAACACAAUCAUUGUGAAAUAUGAGUGAAAUAAAAAGCCAGUUUUAUCGUAAUGCUUCCUGUAUUAACCGGGACGCAGACCAUCUGAAGCAAGGAGGGGCGGCCGUGUCGCUUCCUAGGAGCCUUUCAUUGCACCUAACUGAUUCGUGUCCACAAGUGAGUGACAAGAUAGCGCUGCAGUUAUCUGCAAAUCUCCCUUUCGGCUGUGCCUCGGACGUCUCCUUGCAGACAGCAGCCCAUGUAGGAAUCUGCAGGCCCUCGCCGUUCUCCUUCAAGACAGGAACCGGUUCACCCAAAUUCCUGCCCUGCAUCUUUACGCAAGCCCCUACGAGCACUACCUCUGCGGACCCUCUCAGCCAUUUCACAGAGGCACAAAUGCCACUGGCUAGACUCGGGACAAACCUCCGUCGGAGAAGUGGGAGGCAAAGGGAUCAAGGCCCACCGCCCUUCACCCACUCGCACACGGCUGAGGACACGGGAGCUCCCUGCGUGGACACGGGGCAUCCUCGUGGGGCGUCUUUAUCGGCAGGAUCCACGAGCAAAUGAUAACCCCCACAAUCCUCACAUACCAGUAAGAAACACAUCUUUCCCGCAUAUGUCCACUACCGUGGCAAGGACUGUAGAGAGAGCGAGCAAAUGACAACUCCGAGUUUUCGUUUCUUUCUUUAAUUUAAAAUUUUAUUUUCUCUCCCUUGG
Molecule: long non-coding RNA, 1537 nt
Organism: Apus apus (common swift)
Lineage: Eukaryota; Metazoa; Chordata; Aves; Apodiformes; Apodidae
Exons: 3
Source: RefSeq, a predicted model, not a curated record